CCUGGAUCACAGCUGGCCUCUGUGAGUCCGUUUCGACAUGCGCAAUCGCACGUGGACUCGUCCAGAACCCUGUUGGGCCCGCAGAGCGCUAGUAGACCCGAGUCCAGCGUCUCUGGAAACCACAUGGAAAGAAAAAAUAUCAUCCUGAAUCAUCUGCUGUAACAUCCAAACACUCUGAGGGCAAAUCAGUUACUGACAACUGUAAAAUAAAUUACGGGGAUGUCAGACAGACAAUCAGACGGGGAAAGAAGAAGAGGAGAGACAGACAGGAGGCCGACAUCAAGACGAGGAGGAGGAGGAGGAGGAAGAGGGAGAAAGAGGUGUGCCUGGGAAACGCUCGAAUGAGAAAACAUCCGAUUUUUGGGCCAGUCACCGCCAGCCUUCUGCAAGGAUUAAAGACGCACACUCUCAUGCACGCACAUGUCGGCAAGUUUCUGCUUGCAGUAUGCUUUAUGUGUUGAAAUCCUCACAACCAAGCUCCACAUUCCAGUCAUUGCUUUCUCAAUUUCAUCAUGUGAGCAGGAUGCAUAGAAUAAGAGAUGAUACAGAGGGGCGUUUAUGACCAGUGCUUGCUUUUACCUGUGCAGAGGAGAACUUAAACCAAGUGAUUUUAAUAUUUGUCAAAAGAAGCUAAACCACAAACCAAACGUAGCUAAAGCCUCGCGAAAAGUCAAAGAUUUUGGCUGUAAUCGGGUGCAAAACGUAACGAAAGACAGAAUGAUGUGGCUCAAAAGAAGGACGUUUAUGUGGAGGCUAAAAGGAAGAGAUUGAUGCUUCAUUAGAGGGAACAGCAGAGAACUUUAACCUUGGUGAUAAAACUAAAAAUCAUCCAGGAGUCAUGCAAACAAACAAACCAAAUGUUACUACAGCCUCACCAAUAGUUAAAAACUUGAGGCAUAACAAAAGUAAUAAAAGAUUGCAUGAUUCCCUAAAGGAGGAAAAUUAUGUGCCCGUGAAAAAACGAUUCAGUUUACAGUAAUCACUGUUUUGAUUGUUUAAUAGCCGCCGUGUCUGUGACGGGUGAACUUCUUGAACAUGCCUAAAGUGAAAAUCUCUGACACUGGCUGCUCUCAUACAGGCAGGAUUUUUGAGGCUCACGCAUCAUAAAGGCCAAUAUCAGUUUUCACGCUGCAAACAAGAUGAAUGUUUGUGUUUUGUUAUCACAUGUGGCCGACAAAUUUGUUAAGCUCUUCAUGAGAUGGAGAAACACAGUUGUAGUCAUUAGAAGAACAAAAAGAUUGUCAAGUUUGGGAACUGUUCAGAAAUAGUAGAAAUCUUUCCAAAGUCCAACUGAAUAGGAAAACAGAACUCGUCUUUGGUGUCUUUAAAUACAAUAAACAACAAGAAAAAGGAACAUUUAAUCUGUCGAAAAGCCGUAGUGUAUCAGAAUGAAUAACACAGUCUGA
Labrus mixtus (cuckoo wrasse) is the source of this 1406-nucleotide long non-coding RNA. RefSeq lists it as uncharacterized. The transcript is spliced from 3 exons. NCBI's taxonomy places the organism in Eukaryota, Metazoa, Chordata, Actinopteri, Labriformes, Labridae. The record is from RefSeq and is a predicted model, not a curated record.